CCUACGGGAGGCAGCAGUGGGGAAUAUUGGACAAUGGGCGAAAGCCUGAUCCAGCAAUGCCGCGUGAGUGAUGAAGGCCUUAGGGUCGUAAAGCUCUUUUACCAGGGAUGAUAAUGACAGUACCUGGAGAAUAAGCUCCGGCUAACUCCGUGCCAGCAGCCGCGGUAAUACGGAGGGAGCUAGCGUUGUUCGGAAUUACUGGGCGUAAAGCGUACGUAGGCGGUUAUUCAAGUCAGAGGUGAAAGCCCGGGGCUCAACCCCGGAACGGCCUUUGAAACUAGGUAGCUAGAGUCUUGGAGAGGUCAGUGGAAUUCCGAGUGUAGAGGUGAAAUUCGUAGAUAUUCGGAAGAACACCAGUGGCGAAGGCGACUGACUGGACAAGUACUGACGCUGAGGUACGAAAGCGUGGGGAGCAAACAGGAUUAGAUACCCUGGUAGUCCACGCCGUAAACGAUGAUAACUAGCUGUUCGGGUACUUGGUAUCUGAGUGGCGCAGCUAACGCAUUAAGUUAUCCGCCUGGGGAGUACGGUCGCAAGAUUAAAACUCAAAGGAAUUGA
Molecule: ribosomal RNA, 558 nt
Filed under: uncultured bacterium
Lineage: Bacteria
Description: bacterial SSU rRNA
Rfam family: Bacterial small subunit ribosomal RNA
Source: RNAcentral